RNAcentral lists this ribosomal RNA (249 nucleotides) under uncultured Halochromatium sp. RNAcentral describes it as "partial 16S ribosomal RNA". It matches the Rfam family "Bacterial small subunit ribosomal RNA", at positions 355 to 596 of the family's 1533-position model. The record is from RNAcentral. Lineage: Bacteria; Pseudomonadati; Pseudomonadota; Gammaproteobacteria; Chromatiales; Chromatiaceae.
UGGGGAAUAUUGGACAAUGGGCGAAAGCCUGAUCCAGCAAUGCCGCGUGUGUGAAGAAGGCCUGCGGGUUGUAAAGCACUUUCAGUGGGGAAGAAAAGCCGCGGGUUACUACCCCUCGGUGUUGACGUUACCCACAGACGCAGCACCGGCUAACUCCGUGCCAGCAGCCGCGGUAAUACGGAGGGGGCAGGCGUUCGUCGGCAUUACUGGGCGUAAAGCGCACGUAGGUGGUGAGGUCAGUCAGAUGUG